CCUACGGGUGGCAGCAGUGAGGAAUAUUGGUCAAUGGCCGGAAGGCUGAACCAGCCAUGCCGCGUGAAGGUCAGUGCCCUAUGGGCGUUAAACUUCUUUUGUGCGGGAGCAAUAAUGGUCACGUGUGGCCAGACGAGAGUACCGUACGAAUAAGCAUCGGCUAACUCCGUGCCAGCAGCCGCGGUAAUACGGGGGGUGCAAGCGUUAUCCGGAUUUAUUGGGUUUAAAGGGUGCGUAGGCUGUGAGGUAAGUCAGCGGUGAAAUGCCCCCGCUCAACGGGGUGAAGUGCCAUUGAUACUGCCUUGCUGGAGUGCGGAUGCGGUGGGAGGAAUGUGUGGUGUAGCGGUGAAAUGCAUAGAUAUCACACAGAACACCGAUUGCGAAGGCAGCUCACGAAUCCGCGAUUGACGCUGAUGCACGAAAGCGUGGGUAUCAAACAGGAUUAGAUACCCUAGUAGUC
This 460-nucleotide ribosomal RNA is filed under the name uncultured bacterium. RNAcentral's name for it is "partial 16S ribosomal RNA". It matches the Rfam family "Bacterial small subunit ribosomal RNA", at positions 338 to 795 of the family's 1533-position model. The record is from RNAcentral.